Molecule: ribosomal RNA, 433 nt
Filed under: uncultured bacterium
Lineage: Bacteria
Description: partial 16S ribosomal RNA
Rfam family: Bacterial small subunit ribosomal RNA
Source: RNAcentral
AACGAACGCUGGCGGCAUGCCUAACACAUGCAAGUCGAACGAGACCUUCGGGUCUAGUGGCGCACGGGUGCGUGACGCGUGGGAACCUGCCCUUAGGUUCGGAAUAACUCCCCGUAAGGGGUGCUCAUACCGGUUAAUGUCUUCGGACCAAAGAUUUAUCGCCUUUGGAUGGGCCCGCGUUGGUUUAGCUAGUUGGUAGGGUAAAAGCCUACCAAGGCGACGAUCGAUAGCUGGUCUGGGAGGAUGGUCAGCCACACUGGGACUGAGACACGGCCCAGACUCCUACGGGAGGCAGCAGUGGGGAAUAUUGGACAAGGGGCGAAAGCCUGGUAAAGCAAUGCCGCGUGAGUGAUGAAGGCCUUAGGGUUGUAAAGCUCUUUUACCCGGGAUGAUAAUGACAGUACCGGGAGAAUAAGCACCGGCUAACUCCGUG